UGAAGUACACGAACACACACACACACACACACACACACCGCACAUACCGCGUCUAUCAGCCUGGACGGUAACGCACUGUUUCGUGUCAUGUACGGUGACAAGGGCCCGCCCAAGGGAUACAGUGUCCCUCGGUUCGACACCAACGCCAGCAAGCGAUGCCAGACAUGUUCAAGCACGGAGCAUUGGACCUUUGAGUGUCCACUGAAAAAAUCGGCCACAUCGUCUGCCAAGAAGGGCGCCGCCGCGACGGUGAAGCUAAGCCCGAGUCAGAUGCUCAGGUACGGGAUAAAGCGGAAAUCUGCCAAUUUUGUCCCAGAGCCCACGGAGCGCGAGGUGUUCGAUGCGGAGCUGAGGGAGCUGCGCAACAUGCUGACGGCGGAGGUUCGCCAGGAGCUCAAGGCGAAAAAGUUUGCGGCACACAAGAGUGGGAAUGACUGCAAGAUGCACGAGGCACCGCUGCCCUCUGCGGCACCCAAAAAAGAGUCGCCGUCCGACCCCGUCAAGAUCAAGAAGGAGCGUACGGAGAAGGAGUGAUGGGCGGGGUAGAGGAGCUCAGAAGACAGCGCCAGUCCUUGGAUAGGUGCUGACGCGCGACACAAGCAGCUCGUGAGCCACAAUCAGGUCGCUCUCGCUCGCUCUUUUGGCCAUUUGCCGUGACCUAAAGGCGUCGCUCCUUCUCCCACCCACCCGCUCGCCUCCCUCGCUGCAUGAGGGACAGCGGCAGGCAGGUGGUCUCCAUCGUCUUGCAUGUGCGAGAGUCGGAAAGUC
Molecule: unclassified non-coding RNA, 768 nt
Filed under: Leishmania donovani
Lineage: Eukaryota; Euglenozoa; Kinetoplastea; Trypanosomatida; Trypanosomatidae
Description: gene:LdHU3.34.6310(CDS-product:Zinc_knuckle_putat ive)
Source: RNAcentral